Molecule: long non-coding RNA, 443 nt
Filed under: Rattus norvegicus (Norway rat)
Lineage: Eukaryota; Metazoa; Chordata; Mammalia; Rodentia; Muridae
Description: long non-coding RNA NONRATT024003
Source: RNAcentral
GGAGAGGAAGGAAUGCCUGAUCUUGCCCAUGUGAUGCGCAUUUUGUCUGCAGAAAAUAUCCCAAAUUUACCUCCCGGGGGAGGCCUCGCUGGCAAGCGCAAUGUUAUUGAAGCUGUUUAUAGUAGACUUAAUCCAAACAAAGACAAUGAUGGGAUGGCAGACUUGAGCACGUCUAUUUGUAAAGCCAGCUGAGAACUCUGGUGACACAGCAGAGGCUGAUCAACCUACCAAGAGCCCGGAAGUACAAAGAAGAACAAAAGUUUUGUUUUGUUUUUGUAAACUCGAAAGAAAAAAAACAAGUCCAGCAUUACGUCAGUGCGGUAUCUGUUCCGCUGUGAGCGGUAACCUUCUAGCCCAUCAGCGAAGGAGGAGGAGAGCUCCCACCUUGCCUUACAAACCUUGCUUUUCCAUGUUCAUGCAAUAAACACGUUUGGCUUCUUGGU